AUGGUGGGGGUGCUGUCGAAUCGGGUGGGCCGGGAGGCCCUCGCCGCCGGGGAUCACAUCUACUCGUGGAGAACCGCCUACAUCUACGCCCACCACGGGAUAUAUGCUGGAGAUGGAAUGGUUAUCCAUUUUACGAGAGCGGCUGGACAUGAAAUUGGGACAGGGACAUUUUUAGACAAGUUUCUGUUCAGCUCAUCGCCGACUACGGCGGAUGGCCCUCCUUGUGAGAAAUGUGGGCACCUCAUCAAGCCUCAGGGCGUCAUAAUGUCCUGUCUCGAUUGCUUCCUGGACGGGGGCAGUCUCUACCUCUUCGACUAUGCUGUGUCGCCCCCUUUCUUCCUUGCCAAAGCACGUGGAGGAACCUGCACUAUGGCACCCUCUGACGCUGCUCAGCUUGUUGUCCACCGUGCCAAACACCUCCUCAACAAUGGCUUUGGCAUGUAUAGCCUGUUUAAGAACAACUGUGAGGACUUCGCGAUAUACUGCAAGACGGAGCUGCUUGUCGAGACUGCUUACAGCGUUGGGCGCAGUGGGCAGCUGGCGUCCCUGACGGCUGCAUUCAGUGCGGUGGCUUCUUCGCCGCUGCGUUUCCUGACAACUAGUGCUAGUGGUCUGGCAAUUGUGACAAGCGGCAUGUACUGCGUGGGGCGAUAUGUGUCAGACAUGGGUGUUCGCCGUGAUGUGAUCAAGGUGCCUGUGGAAAGGCUUGUAGAGCACUGGGUGAACAACGUCACUCCUGCUCUUCCUCAAGGGGCCACACAGGCGGAGACGGCAAUGCCUGGAGGCUCGCCGGAGCUACCAGGGGAAGGGGAGCUUGCUAAAACGGCAACACCAGAAGGCUCGCUGGAGCUACCAGGCGAAGGGGAACUUGCUAAAAAGGAAUGUUAUGGAGAGGAUUCUCCUUGCUGCAGUCUACACCGUACUAAUUGUGGCUACUUUUGA
Molecule: ribosomal RNA, 942 nt
Filed under: Triticum aestivum (bread wheat)
Lineage: Eukaryota; Viridiplantae; Streptophyta; Magnoliopsida; Poales; Poaceae
Description: partial small subunit ribosomal RNA
Source: RNAcentral